This 292-nucleotide ribosomal RNA is filed under the name uncultured bacterium. Its description in RNAcentral is "partial 16S ribosomal RNA". It matches the Rfam family "Bacterial small subunit ribosomal RNA", at positions 505 to 796 of the family's 1533-position model. The record is from RNAcentral.
GUGUCAGCAGCCGCGGUAAGACGAAGGUGGCAAGCGUUGCUCGGAAUCACUGGGCAUAAAGCGCGCGUAGGUGGCUUGAUAAGUCGGUGGUGAAAUCCCAUGGCUCAACCAUGGAACUGCCGUCGAUACUGUCAGGCUUGAGGGCGGUAGGGGAGAGUGGAACUCCUGGUGUAGCGGUGAAAUGCGUAGAUAUCAGGAGGAACGCCGGUGGCGAAAGCGACUCUCUGGGCCGUUCCUGACACUAAAGCGCGAGAGCUAGGGGAGCAAACAGGAUUAGAUACCCUGGUAGUCC